Molecule: long non-coding RNA, 627 nt
Filed under: Rattus norvegicus (Norway rat)
Lineage: Eukaryota; Metazoa; Chordata; Mammalia; Rodentia; Muridae
Description: long non-coding RNA NONRATT029725
Source: RNAcentral
AGCUCAUAGGUAGGAGGAGAAUAGAUUCCUGUAAGCCCUGUCUGCAAUGUGAACAAGGCCAUGUGAUGCUGGCAGCCAAGAGCAGAGCUUCAUACUGCUUGUGACUUGCAAGAGAAGCAGCUGGACCUAAAGAGCAAGAUGUCAGGUACAGUGACUUCAUAGGUGAUAAUGAAUUCCUGUGUCCCAGGUGGCAUUGCUGACCUGAAGCCUCCAUACAGAGGCAGAUGUGCUCUUCCGGAUGGGGGAGCUGAUACCUGGGCUACAUUGAGUCAUGAAUCUCACCCUCACACAAUCCCUCCCACUUUCCUUUUGCUUUCCUCCUAAAAGCAGAGGAUGUAGUGAUUUCAGUAUCCACUGGAACCACUCACUACACCACCGUAGGGCCACUGCAUUGCUCUGCUGCCCUGCACUGCUAUUCUGUAAAUGGUGAGCUCACUUUGAGAUUGCCAGAGAGCAUGGCAAUCACAGCACUAAGGGUCACAGUGCAUGACAUGGCUCUGUGAGCCUUGCACAGGUCGUUUUCUUUAACGUCCCCUCCCAAUGUCUAAAGUUGGAAUCUCUGAAUGAUUCUCUGUAGGUUUAGUGUUGCUCAGGCAUAGGCCUGUAAAUAAAACAUGGAUGAAACCC